Pyrgilauda ruficollis (rufous-necked snowfinch) is the source of this 189-nucleotide long non-coding RNA. RefSeq lists it as uncharacterized. The transcript is spliced from 3 exons. The record is from RefSeq and is a predicted model, not a curated record. Lineage: Eukaryota; Metazoa; Chordata; Aves; Passeriformes; Passeridae.
GAAAGACAUGCCACUGUUCAGCUGAAACCUCCUGGAACUGCAGCUGCUAGUGCCUGAGGAUGUACUGCAAGUGAACCAAGAGGGAUGAGCAGUCGCAAUGGAGGGCCCAGCAAGCACUGUUUGGAACAGGUUCUUUGCAAACACAGUCCCAGAAGGUGUCAUCUGUGCUCACCCGCUGAAGCAGAUCAG